Molecule: ribosomal RNA, 1455 nt
Filed under: uncultured Bordetella sp.
Lineage: Bacteria; Pseudomonadati; Pseudomonadota; Betaproteobacteria; Burkholderiales; Alcaligenaceae
Description: partial 16S-23S ribosomal RNA intergenic spacer
Rfam family: Bacterial small subunit ribosomal RNA
Source: RNAcentral
UUGAUUCUGGCUCAGAUUGAACGCUGGCAGGAUGCCUUACACAUGCAAGUCCCAGACGGCAGCACGGACUUCGGUCUGGUGGCGAGUGGCGAACGAGUGAGAGUAAUGUAUCGGAACGUGCCCAGUAGCGGGGGAUAACUACGCGAAAGCGUAGCUAUUACCGCAUACGCCCUACGGGAAGCAGGGGAUCGCAAGACCUUGCUAUUGGAGCGGCCGAUAUCGGAUUAGCUAGUUGGUGGGGUAACGUACCACCAAGGCGACGAUCCGUAGCUGGUUUGAGAGGACGACCAGCCACACUGGGACGAGACACGGCCCAGACUCCUACGGGAGGCAGCAGUGGGGGAAUUUUGGACAAUGGGGGAAACCUGAUCCAGCCAUCCCGCGUGCAUUAAGGAAGUAUUCAGGUUGUAGAAACACUUUUUGGCAGGAAAGAAACGUCGUGGGUUAAUACCCCGCGAAACUGACAGUACCUGCAGAAUAAGCACCGGCUAACUACGUGCAAACAGCCGCGGUAAUACGUAGGGUGCAAGCGUUAAUCGGAAUUGGGCGUAAAGCAGUAGCAGGCUUGAUUCUAAAGGAAGAAAGAUGUGAAAUCCCAGAGCUUAACUUUGGAACACGUUUUUAACUACCGGGCUAGAGUGUCAGAGGUGGGUUCGCGUGUAGCGAUUAAAUGUUUGGAAAUGGAGGAACCGAUGGCAGAAGCAGCCUCCUGGGACGCAACACUGACGCUCAUGCACGAAAGCGUGGGAGCAAACAGGAUUAGAUGCUGGUAGUCCACGCCUAAACGAUGUCAACUGUUGGGGCGCUGAGCAGCAGUAAGCGCAGCUAACGCGUGAAGUUGACCGCCUGGGAAGUACGGUCGCAAGAUUAAAACUCAAAGGAAUUGACGGGGACCCGCACAAGCGGUGGAUGGUAUGGAUUUAAUUCGAUGCCUUGCAGAAAACCUUACCUACCCUUGACAUGUCUGGAAUGCCGAAGAGAUUUGGCAGUGCUCGCAAGAGAACCGGAACACGGGUGCUGCAUGGCUGUCGUCAGCUCGUGUCGUGAGAUGUUGGGUUAAGUCCCGCAACGAGCGCAACCCUUGUCAUUAGUUGCUACGAAAGGGCACUCUAAUGAGACUGCCGGUGACAAACCGGAGAGGGCAGAGGAUGACAUCAAAGUCCUCAUAGCCCUUAUGGGUAGGGCUUCACGUCAUACAAUGGUCGGGACAGAGGGUCGCCAACCCGCGAGGGGAGCCAAUCCCAGGAAACCCGAUCGUAGUCCGGAUCGCAGUCUGCAACUCGACUGCGUGAAGUCAGAAUCGCUAGUAAUCGCGGAUCAGCAUGUCCGUCGUUCCCGGGUCUUGUACACACCGCCCGUCACACCAUGGGGUGGGUUUUACCAGAAGUAGUUAGCCUAACCGCAGAGGCGUGCCACGGUAGGAUUCAUGACUGGGGUGAAGUCGUAACAAGGUAA